AGAAUCAACGCUGGCGGCGUGCCUAACACAUGCAAGUCGAACGAGAAAGUGGAGCAAUCCAUGAGUACAGUGGCGUACGGGUGAGUAACACGUGACUAACCUACCCUCGAGUGGGGAAUAACCUCGGGAAACCGGGGCUAACACCGCAUAACAUCUACGGAUCAAAUGCGUAAGCAGCUUGAGGAGGGGGUCGCGGCUGAUUAGCUAGUUGGCGGGGUAAUGGCCCACCAAGGCAGUGAUCAGUAGCCGGCCUGAGAGGGCGCACGGCCACACUGGAACUGAAACACGGUCCAGACUCCUACGGGAGGCAGCAGUGGGAAUUUUGCGCAAUGGGGGAAACCCUGACGCAGCAACGCCGCGUGGAGGAUUAAGCCCCUUGGGGUGUAAACUCCUUUCGAUCGGGACGAUUAGUGACGGUACCGGAAGAAGAAGCACCGGCUAACUCUGUGCCAGCAGCCGC
RNAcentral lists this ribosomal RNA (460 nucleotides) under uncultured bacterium. Its description in RNAcentral is "SSU rRNA". It matches the Rfam family "Bacterial small subunit ribosomal RNA", at positions 26 to 518 of the family's 1533-position model. The record is from RNAcentral.